AGCAUAUGAAUUUAGCUAUAGGGGUUGAGGCAGCACGGCCUCAAAAAACAUGAAAGGCAACCCAAAAAAAAAAAAAACGACAAAUAAAAAAUUAUAGAAAAUUGAUACUUCUAUUCCUCACUCAAAAGCAAGACACUAACGAGCUGCAAAACUCAGCACAUUUCUUACUCACGUUCCGUAUUCGUCUAAUAGUCAAAAAAAAGUCAAAUGAUUGACUUUUAAAAAUAAUGUUACUUCUUUUCCGCCAAAUCAUUCACCAAUUGGUUGCGAUCCUGAUUAGAUCCCUCACCACUGCCCCUUGGAGGCGGUUCCCAGCCAGAAGCUCCCAAACACUCCU
RNAcentral lists this long non-coding RNA (337 nucleotides) under Ananas comosus (pineapple). Its description in RNAcentral is "long non-coding RNA (ACOM_LNC032003)". Lineage: Eukaryota; Viridiplantae; Streptophyta; Magnoliopsida; Poales; Bromeliaceae. The record is from RNAcentral.